This 22-nucleotide microRNA is filed under the name Apis mellifera (honey bee). Its description in RNAcentral is "ame-miR-6047a-5p". The record is from miRBase by way of RNAcentral. Lineage: Eukaryota; Metazoa; Arthropoda; Insecta; Hymenoptera; Apidae.
AGUGGACUGACUGGCCUGUGCU